This 465-nucleotide ribosomal RNA is filed under the name uncultured bacterium. Its description in RNAcentral is "partial 16S ribosomal RNA". It matches the Rfam family "Bacterial small subunit ribosomal RNA", at positions 28 to 507 of the family's 1533-position model. The record is from RNAcentral.
GAUGAACGCUGGCGGCGUGCUUAACACAUGCAAGCCGAACGGAAAGGCUCCUGCUUGCAGGGGUACUCGAGUGGCGAACGGGUGAGUAACACGUGGGUGAUCUGCCCUGCACUUCGGGAUAAGCCUGGGAAACUGGGUCUAAUACCGGAUAGGACCACAUUUUGGAUGGUGUGGUGGAAAGUUUUUCGGUGUGGGAUGAGCUCGCGGCCUAUCAGCUUGUUGGUGGGGUAAUGGCCUACCAAGGCGUCGACGGGUAGCCGGCCUGAGAGGGUGUACGGCCACAUUGGGACUGAGAUACGGCCCAGGCUCCUACGGGAGGCAGCAGUGGGGAAUAUUGCACAAUGGGCGCAAGCCUGAUGCAGCGACGCCGCGUGGGGGAUGACGGCCUUCGGGUUGUAAACUCCUUUCGCUAGGGACGAAGCGCAAGUGACGGUACCUGGAGAAGAAGCACCGGCUAACUACGUG